This 74-nucleotide transfer RNA is filed under the name subsurface metagenome. RNAcentral's name for it is "tRNA-Gly". It matches the Rfam family "tRNA". From Rfam's summary of the family: Transfer RNA (tRNA) molecules are approximately 80 nucleotides in length. Their secondary structure includes four short double-helical elements and three loops (D, anti-codon, and T loops). The record is from RNAcentral.
GCGGGCGUAGUUCAGCUGGUAGAACGUUUGCUUGCCAAGCAAAAGGUCGUGGGUUCGAAACCCAUCGCCCGCUC